This 331-nucleotide unclassified non-coding RNA is filed under the name uncultured fungus. RNAcentral describes it as "partial contains 18S rRNA, ITS1, 5.8S rRNA, ITS2 and 28S rRNA". Lineage: Eukaryota; Fungi. The record is from RNAcentral.
AAGGAUCAUUAACGAGACCAGCGGGGUGUGUCCGCCUGCGACUCGCCUACACCGGUGCGCUGCAUCGGUGGGAGUGCCGAGGACGUCAGUCGGGCAGAUCCCACUGGAUCCCAACCGUGUCUACCUGAGAAUGUUGCCUCGGCGGGCCGUACCGCCCGGCCCCUGGCUUGACGGCCAGCUGGGUUCGGGGGGUCGACCCGGGCUGCCCUCUAGCGGGGGGAGCCCGGCGCCUGUGUCCGCCCGAGGGACCUCCAACCUUUAACCAUGUGUGAAACGUCUGAGUAGCUAUUAAAUAGUUUUAAAACUUUCAACAACGGAUCUCUUGGUUCCA